GAAUAUCGAAAUCGGUAUUCUCUAUUAGUCGAGUCUCAUUCGCGAAUAGUAACUUGUAUAAAAUUACAGAACAUUGGUAAGAAAAAAUAAAAAAAGAAAAAGAAUACCGCACACGGACAAGUCGUCGACGAGAUUCGAACGCUCAUCGCCGGCCAAAAAAUAUUCGGCGCAGGAGUCUCAGUCCGCUCAGUCACGCCACGUCUAAACGAAAGCUGCAACUUUUGCCCUAUGUACGCUACAGCUCCGCGACCUAAACUUUAUACUGUAAUUUUUCAGAAAGACAUUUGCACAAACCCCGUUAGGACAUUGAUGCUCAACAUCGCAGUUAUUGAACGUGAUAUGAUCGGAAAUCGACUUAGCAGUCUGCCAUAUUGGAUCCGUCAUUUUUAAUUCAUCAAUUUUGACCAGAUUCUUAUUCUACAACUCGGAGAAACUCUGUAUAUACACUUUUAUAAAAAUUGCAACUGCGAUCUGCGAGAAAAAUGCAUUUGACGUAAUAUUGCGUCAAUGCCCUCUGGGGCACGACGAAAAUGU
This is a long non-coding RNA of Odontomachus brunneus, 534 nucleotides long. RefSeq lists it as uncharacterized. NCBI's taxonomy places the organism in Eukaryota, Metazoa, Arthropoda, Insecta, Hymenoptera, Formicidae. The record is from RefSeq and is a predicted model, not a curated record. The transcript has 3 exons.